Myotis myotis is the source of this 1716-nucleotide long non-coding RNA. RefSeq lists it as uncharacterized. NCBI's taxonomy places the organism in Eukaryota, Metazoa, Chordata, Mammalia, Chiroptera, Vespertilionidae. The transcript has 3 exons. The record is from RefSeq and is a predicted model, not a curated record.
CGGCAGUCCAGGUCCGGGGGCGCGGGGCGCGGGCAGCCACAGGUCCGCUGGGCUGGCGCCGAGCGCACUCAGGGUCCCGGGCAGCGAGAGGCCGCGCCUGUCACGGGCUCCGGCUCCACAAAGCGCAGGGAGGUGGCAGCGGGGUGGCUCGGUGUGUGACCGCGGCCGCGCAGCGCGGGCCACCGCUGGCACCGGGGGAGGAGGCUGGAGCGGCGCAGAGCCCGGCCGCGGGCGGCUGCAAAAGGCGGCCUGGAUUGCCGCGCUGCCCGCUGGUCGCGCACUCCGGCCCCCGCCCGGGGACUCUGCGCCAGGCCUCCCGGUACCGCGCUGGUCUCUAGUUCCUUCCCCCAGAACCACAGGAAUAAAUCCUGGCAGCAAAGCACAGAAACUUCCUACCGCAGCGGGAGUGCGCAGGGAGCGCCCACGGUGCUGGGGCCGCGCGGGCACUCGGGGCCCUUCCCCGGCCCCUCCGUCUCUAGUCCUCCCUCCCGGCGGGCACGCCAGCAGCGCUACCGCCGCACUCAGCCUCCCCUGGGCUCCAAAAUGGGAGGCUGGCCCCACGACCCUCGACCCUCGCGGUCCCUUCGACCCCCCGCGGUCCCUUCCGCCCCGGGAUUGUGGGCGGCUGCUCCCGCGAGGCCCAGGCAUUAGCCGGCACCUCGCAAGGCGGCGUUUCACAACUAAAUCACCGUGGAAGCUUCCCAGCCAAUAAAUCACCUGCCCACCGGGGGAGAGUCCCUCCCACUCCCCGUGUUUGAGACCAGCCGGGCCAAUUCAGUGAGGAGCCAGACUUGGCCUGCAAGACAGACCUGCAACCUCCCACUCCAUUCCUCGAGGCUCUGCAUUUUCAGAUUUCACCCCUUUCUAAGAUAUGACUCAUCACUGUCAAUUUUCACUGUAAUUCUUAUAGGUCAAAGGAAAAGUCUGUCCAGGCACAAAAAAAGCAAGCCCUCCUCCAGUCUGCAAGAGUGACCUCGGUUACUUAACAAAAGUAUCAUUCUAAUUACAACACGCAUCCUGGACUGCGUGCAAAGCUUCUCCAUGGGGGACAUGGAGAGGAAUGAGGCUGCCCUGUCCUCAAGGAGCUCCAUGGCAAACAGAAGGAAAAACUAACCAUACCAUCAAUCCAGGGUCAAGGGUGACAUCUGUAAACAACUGGGAGCCUCAGGGAUGGGUGAGGCCUAAGAAUGGAGUCCAGGACGGUGCAGAUCACAGAUGGUGCGAUGGGCAUCUGUUGCCUUUGUUUGCCUUUCAAACAAAAAAGACCUGCCUUAUCCAUUUCAAAAAAUUAUUCUGAACAUCAAACUGGACAGCAAAGAGAAGAGUAGUAGGCUGCGGCUAAGUCCCUCACAGAGUAAGGUGCACUGAUCGCCCUCAUCUGCACCUGCAACUCCCAACAUUCUUUUCCUCAAGGGCUGGAUCUGACCUGUGUCUGCAGCAGAGAAGAGAGGCAGGACGAGGGGAAUGUGCCUCAGAAAUGGCUAAAAAAUAGCUCUGCAUUAACUCCUGGCUGAGAGCUUUCACAAUUAACUCCCACUGGUGAAUUUUAACUAGUGCAUCACAGUCAGAAACGCACACCAGGACUUCGAAAAGUGACUUCACUCCAUCCUCUUACAUAACUGUUUGGAAAACACUGUCGGUAUUAAAAUGAUUCCCACUGUGAAAAUGGCUCCUUCUGCUCUACCCUGUUUUCUGCACAAAAUUUUAUGUUAAUAA